AUUUGACGUUAGCGACAGAAGAAGCACCGGCUAACUCCGUGCCAGCAGCCGCGGUAAUACGGAGGGUGCGAGCGUUAAUCGGAAUUACUGGGCGUAAAGCGCAUGCAGGUGGUUAGUUAAGUCAGAUGUGAAAGCCCGGGGCUCAACCUCGGAACUGCAUUUGAAACUGGCUGACUAGAGUACUGUAGAGGGGGGUAGAAUUUCAGGUGUAGCGGUGAAAUGCGUAGAGAUCUGAAGGAAUACCGGUGGCGAAGGCGGCCCCCUGGACAGAUACUGACACUCAGAUGCGAAAGCGUGGGGAGCAAACAGGAUUAGAUACCCUGGUAGUCCACGCCGUAAACGAUGUCUACUUGGAGGUUGUGGCCUUGAGCCGUGGCUUUCGGAGCUAACGCGUUAAGUAGACCGCCUGGGGAGUACGGUCGCAAGAUUAAAACUCAAAUGAAUUGACGGGGGCCCGCACAAGCGGUGGAGCAUGUGGUUUAAUUCGAUGCAACGCGAAGAACCUUACCUACUCUUGACAUCCAGAGAACUUAGCAGAGAUGCUUUGGUGCCUUCGGGAACUCUGAGACAGGUGCUGCAUGGCUGUCGUCAGCUCGUGUUGUGAAAUGUUGGGUUAAGUCCCGCAACGAGCGCAACCCUUAUCCUUGUUUGCCAGCGAGUAAUGUCGGGAACUCCAGGGAGACUGCCGGUGAUAAACCGGAGGAAGGUGGGGACGACGUCAAGUCAUCAUGGCCCUUACGAGUAGGGCUACACACGUGCUACAAUGGCGCAUACAGAGGGCUGCCAACUUGCGAAAGUGAGCGAAUCCCAAAAAGUGCGUCGUAGUCCGGAUUGGAGUCUGCAACUCGACUCCAUGAAGUCGGAAUCGCUAGUAAUCGUGGAUCAGAAUGCCACGGUGAAUACGUUCCCGGGCCUUGUACACACCGCCCGUCACACCAUGGGAGUGGGCUGCAAAAGAAGUGGGUAGUUUAACCUUCGGGAGGACGCUCACCACUUUGUGGUUCAUGACUGGGGUGAAGUCGUAACAAGGUAGCCCUAGGGGAACCUGGGGCUGGAUCACCUCCUUAU
This 1068-nucleotide ribosomal RNA is filed under the name Vibrio hangzhouensis. RNAcentral describes it as "bacterial SSU rRNA". It matches the Rfam family "Bacterial small subunit ribosomal RNA", at positions 467 to 1533 of the family's 1533-position model. The record is from RNAcentral. Lineage: Bacteria; Pseudomonadati; Pseudomonadota; Gammaproteobacteria; Vibrionales; Vibrionaceae.